RNAcentral lists this ribosomal RNA (506 nucleotides) under uncultured Actinomycetes bacterium. RNAcentral describes it as "bacterial SSU rRNA". It matches the Rfam family "Bacterial small subunit ribosomal RNA", at positions 355 to 874 of the family's 1533-position model. Lineage: Bacteria; Bacillati; Actinomycetota; Actinomycetes. The record is from RNAcentral.
CAGGGAAUCUUGCGCAAUGGGCGAAAGCCUGACGCAGCAACGCCGCGUGGGGGAUGAAGGCCUUCGGGUUGUAAACCCCUUUCAGGAGGGAAGAAAUUGACGGUACCUCCAAAAGAAGGACCGGCCAACUACGUGCCAGCAGCCGCGGUAAUACGUAGGGUCCGAGCGUUAUCCGGAAUCAUUGGGCGUAAAGAGCUCGUAGGCGGUUCAGCAAGUCGGCUGUGAAAGUCCGGGGCUCAACCCCGGAAUUGCAGUCGAUACUGCUGUGACUCGAGUCCGGUAGAGGAGAAUGGAAUUCCCGGUGUAGCGGUGAAAUGCGCAGAUAUCGGGAGGAACACCAGUAGCGAAGGCGGUUCUCUGGGCCGGCACUGACGCUGAGGAGCGAAAGCGUGGGGAGCAAACAGGAUUAGAUACCCUGGUAGUCCACGCUGUAAACGUUGGAUACUAGGUGUGGCGGUCUUACCAACGACUGCCGUGCCGAAGCUAACGCAUUAAGUAUCCCGCCU